Molecule: ribosomal RNA, 1056 nt
Filed under: Kocuria sp.
Lineage: Bacteria; Bacillati; Actinomycetota; Actinomycetes; Micrococcales; Micrococcaceae
Description: bacterial SSU rRNA
Rfam family: Bacterial small subunit ribosomal RNA
Source: RNAcentral
GCAAGUCGAACGCUGAAGCACCAGCUUGCUGGUGUGGAUGAGUGGCGAACGGGUGAGUAAUACGUGAGUAACCUGCCCUUGACUCUGGGAUAAGCCCGGGAAACUGGGUCUAAUACUGGAUGCUACAUGUCACCGCAUGGUGGUGUGUGGAAAGGGUUUACUGGUCUUGGAUGGGCUCACGGCCUAUCAGCUUGUUGGUGAGGUAAUGGCUCACCAAGGCGACGACGGGUAGCCGGCCUGAGAGGGUGACCGGCCACACUGGGACUGAGACACGGCCCAGACUCCUACGGGAGGCAGCAGUGGGGAAUAUUGCACAAUGGGCGAAAGCCUGAUGCAGCGACGCCGCGUGAGGGAUGACGGCCUUCGGGUUGUAAACCUCUUUCAGCAGGGAAGAAGCCACAAGUGACGGUACCUGCAGAAGAAGCGCCGGCUAACUACGUGCCAGCAGCCGCGGUAAUACGUAGGGCGCAAGCGUUGUCCGGAAUUAUUGGGCGUAAAGAGCUCGUAGGCGGUUUGUCGCGUCUGCUGUGAAAGCCCGGGGCUUAACCCCGGGUGUGCAGUGGGUACGGGCAGACUAGAGUGCAGUAGGGGAGACUGGAAUUCCUGGUGUAGCGGUGGAAUGCGCAGAUAUCAGGAGGAACACCGAUGGCGAAGGCAGGUCUCUGGGCUGUUACUGACGCUGAGGAGCGAAAGCAUGGGGAGCGAACAGGAUUAGAUACCCUGGUAGUCCAUGCCGUAAACGUUGGGCACUAGGUGUGGGGGACAUUCCACGUUUUCCGCGCCGUAGCUAACGCAUUAAGUGCCCCGCCUGGGGAGUACGGCCGCAAGGCUAAAACUCAAAGGAAUUGACGGGGGCCCGCACAAGCGGCGGAGCAUGCGGAUUAAUUCGAUGCAACGCGAAGAACCUUACCAAGGCUUGACAUAUACCGGAUCGUUCCAGAGAUGGUUCUUCCCCUUUGGGGUCGGUAUACAGGUGGUGCAUGGUUGUCGUCAGCUCGUGUCGUGAGAUGUUGGGUUAAGUCCCGCAACGAGCGCAACCCUCGUUCCAUGUUGCCA